This 718-nucleotide ribosomal RNA is filed under the name Chaetoceros curvisetus. RNAcentral describes it as "partial Bacterial large subunit ribosomal RNA". It matches the Rfam family "Bacterial large subunit ribosomal RNA", at positions 1 to 690 of the family's 2925-position model. The record is from RNAcentral. Lineage: Eukaryota; Bacillariophyta; Thalassiosirophyceae; Chaetocerotales; Chaetocerotaceae.
GAGAAGGGCGUUUGGUGGAUGCCUUGGCAGUAAGAGGCGAUGAAGGACGUGAUACUCUGCGAUAAGCUAUGGGGAGCCGAGAAUAGGCUUUGAUCCACGGAUUUCUGAAUGGGGCAACCCACCUGACAGUUUCUUAUUGAUAGCUUCGGUUAUCAAUAAGUCGCUGAACCAGGUAUUUAUAGACUGAAUACAUAGGUUUAUAAAAGCAAACCCGGGGAACUGAAACAUCUAAGUACCCAUAGGAAGAGAAAGAAAAUUCGAUUCCCUGAGUAGCGGCGAGCGAAAAGGGAACAGCCCAAACCAGAGAGCUUGCUCUCUGGGGUUGUAGGACUGGACAUUUGAGUUACCAAGAAACGAAGUAGUUGAAUGAUUUGGGAAGAUCAGCCAGAGAAGGUGAUAGCCCUGUAAACGAAACUUCGUUUCCUCAGCCCAGUAUCCUGAGUACGGCGGAACACGUGAAACUCCGUCGGAAUCCGGGAGGACCAUCUCCCAAGGCUAAAUACUCUCUAGUGACCGAUAGUGAACCAGUACCGUGAGGGAAAGGCGAAAAGAACCCCGGAGAGGGGAGUGAAAUAGAACCUGAAACCGUGUGCCUACAACAAGUUCGAGCCCGUUAAUGGGUGAGAGCGUGCCUUUUGUAGAAUGAACCGGCGAGUUACGUUAGCGUGCGAGGUUAAGGCGCAAAGGCCGGAGCCGUAGCGAAAGCGAGUCUGAAUAG